CGCACUCUCGUUUAGAUUGAAGGAGCUUGCUCCUGAUUGAUAAACAUUUGAGUGAGUGGCGGACGGGUGAGUAACACGUGGGUAACCUGCCCUAAAGUGGGGGAUAACAUUUGGAAACAGAUGCUAAUACCGCAUAAAACCUAACACCGCAUGGUGUAGGGUUGAAAGAUGGUUUCGGCUAUCACUUUAGGAUGGACCCGCGGUGCAUUAGUUAGUUGGUGAGGUAAAGGCUCACCAAGACCGUGAUGCAUAGCCGACCUGAGAGGGUAAUCGGCCACACUGGGACUGAGACACGGCCCAGACUCCUACGGGAGGCAGCAGUAGGGAAUCUUCCACAAUGGACGAAAGUCUGAUGGAGCAACGCCGCGUGAGUGAAGAAGGUUUUCGGAUCGUAAAACUCUGUUGUUGGAGAAGAAUGUAUCUGAUAGUAACUGAUCAGGUAGUGACGGUAUCCAACCAGAAAGCCACGGCUAACUACGUGCCAGCAGCCGCGGUAAUACGUAGGUGGCAAGCGUUGUCCGGAUUUAUUGGGCGUAAAGCGAGCGCAGGCGGUUUCUUAAGUCUGAUGUGAAAGCCUUCGGCUCAACCGAAGAAGUGCAUCGGAAACUGGGAAACUUGAGUGCAGAAGAGGACAGUGGAACUCCAUGUGUAGCGGUGAAAUGCGUAGAUAUAUGGAAGAACACCAGUGGCGAA
RNAcentral lists this ribosomal RNA (693 nucleotides) under Latilactobacillus sakei. Its description in RNAcentral is "bacterial SSU rRNA". It matches the Rfam family "Bacterial small subunit ribosomal RNA", at positions 53 to 719 of the family's 1533-position model. The record is from RNAcentral. Lineage: Bacteria; Bacillati; Bacillota; Bacilli; Lactobacillales; Lactobacillaceae.